RNAcentral lists this transfer RNA (73 nucleotides) under Zootermopsis nevadensis. It matches the Rfam family "tRNA". From Rfam's summary of the family: Transfer RNA (tRNA) molecules are approximately 80 nucleotides in length. Lineage: Eukaryota; Metazoa; Arthropoda; Insecta; Blattodea; Termopsidae. The record is from Rfam by way of RNAcentral.
GCCUCGGUGGUCUAGCGGUUAGAACGCUGGCCUUGUAAUCCUGGGGUCUCGGGUUCGAUUCCCGGCAGUGCCC